AGAUCACUCUGCUCAACAACAGCAGAAUACUCAUUGUUCCCAAGCACACAUGGAACAUUCUCUAGGAUAUACCAUGUUAGGGGCCAAUACAAGUAUCAGUACAUAUUUGAGAAAUUGAAAUCACACAGAGCAUCUUCUCUAACAACCAUGGAAUGAAGGAAGAAAUCAUUAACAGAACCAUUCACCAUCACGUUUGCCACACAUGUGAUUGUAGUUGUUAAAAUAAAAUUUCCAGACAUCAGUAGUCAUAUGGAUGGAGACCAAGAACAGAACUCAAGGAUGUGUCCGGCAAUCAGUAAAGAGCUCACAAGCAGGACUUCCAUAGCUGACUAUGCCAAGUGA
RNAcentral lists this long non-coding RNA (342 nucleotides) under Vulpes vulpes (red fox). RNAcentral describes it as "lncRNA (ENSVVUG00000001403.1)". Lineage: Eukaryota; Metazoa; Chordata; Mammalia; Carnivora; Canidae. The record is from RNAcentral.